UUAGGCCUUAKGGUCGUAAAKCUCUUUCGCCAGKGAUGAUAAUGACAGUACCUGGUAAAGAAACCCCGGYUAACUCCGUKCCAGCAGCCGCGGUAAUACRGAGGGGGUUAGCGUUGUUCGGAAUUWCUGGGCGUAAAGCGCACGUAGGCGGAUUARUCAGUCARAGGUGAAAUCCCAGGGCUCAACCCUGKAACUGCCUUUGAUACUGCUWRUCUUGAGUUCGAGAGAGGWGAGUGGAAUUCCGAGUGUAGAGGUGAAAUUCGUAGAUAUUCGGAGGAACACCAGUGGCGAAGGCGGCUCACUGGCUCGAUACUGACGCUGAGGUGCGAAAGUGUGGGGAGCAAACAGGAUUAGAUACCCUGGUAGUCCACACCGUAAACGAUGAAUGCCAGUCGUCGGGCAGUAUACUGUUCGGUGACACACCUAAC
This 428-nucleotide ribosomal RNA is filed under the name uncultured Alphaproteobacteria bacterium. Its description in RNAcentral is "partial 16S ribosomal RNA". It matches the Rfam family "Bacterial small subunit ribosomal RNA", at positions 410 to 856 of the family's 1533-position model. The record is from RNAcentral. Lineage: Bacteria; Pseudomonadati; Pseudomonadota; Alphaproteobacteria.